AUAACCCUCCCAACUCAUUUAUCUUGGUCGGCCAAAGAGAGAAAAAGAGAAAAAAGGAAGAACAAAAACCCUAGAGAGAAAAAUUCAAAGGGAAAUUGUUGAUUUUCAAGGAAUCAAGUCAUUAAAGGUAAAAUUUCUUAAUUCUAGCUUGUGAUCUACCUUUCCUAUGCAUUAUUUUGCAUUUUUCAUGGUUGAAUCACAAGAUAUCAUGAAGGAUAGUGUGCUGAUCAAACCUUAGGAGAGAGAAUUUGAUGAUGAAUUUAGUUAGAAAACAUGUUAUUCUAGUGUUUUUAGUUGUUUGGUGAUGUGUAGUAUGAAAAGCAAGCAAGAAAAAUUCAUGUUCUUACAUCACCUUCAUUGGCCGAAUAUUCCAUGUGGAAUAUUGAUGAUGAAUUUGAUUGAAUUUCAAGUGAUUUGAUUAGGAAUGAAUGAUUUAUGGUGUGAGAAUCAAGCAUGAAAAAUUAUAUUGUUAGUGCACUCACCAUGGCUAAAUUUUUCAAGAGAAAAUGUGAGGAUGAUUUUGCCACAUUUCAAGUUAUUUAAAUUGUGUUUAAUGAUUUGGAGUAUUGGGAGAGAAAUGGAAUUGUUUGGAGUUGAAUUGGACGUAUUGGCCAAUUAUUCGAGUGAUAGAUCAAAUUAAGCCAAUACAAUUUUAUUUAGGUACAUAAUUGAAUUUAUAUUGAACAUCGUAUUUAGAUAGUUACCCCGAGUAUUUCACAUCCCAUUUCAUGCAUUAGUAUAGAGCCUGAAUUGGUUUUACAAUGGUUUAGCACAAAUGUAGCAAAUUGCUUAUUGUGCAUUAUGUCUAGGUGGUGAGCAUUCUGACAAGAGUAAAGAGGUAGUAUCCGAGGAUCAAGAAUUAGAGUAUCCCGAAUUCGAUUCCCAUUACAGUGAGUAACCUUAUUAUCGUCUUAAUUAUCUAAAGUAUGUUUUUAUCCAAUUUUGUAAUUUUAUGAAAAAUGUGUUUAAAUGAAAUGAUUUUAUAAAUUGUUUUGAAAUUUAAUGAUAACUUGAAAAUGGAGUAAUUAGAAACUACUUGCUAUAUUGUAAAUUAUGUUUUGAAUUGAAUGACUUAUGAUAAUGUGGGCAUGAAUGGUUGGAUGGGUAUUUGUGUUGAAAAUGUAUAAACUGUUGUUUGCCUUGAUAGGUUGGAUAAUGAUAAAAUUGUCAUGUCAUGCUGUUGAAUUUUUAUUGAAUUGGUGGGUUAUAAAUUGGUCAUUGGAGUGGCGGGUUCUGUGGACCAGCCUUUUUGAGGGGCACGAAAUCCGGGUAUAUUCUUACCUCGGUUAAGAAGGC
RNAcentral lists this long non-coding RNA (1296 nucleotides) under Theobroma cacao (cacao). Its description in RNAcentral is "long non-coding RNA (TCAC_LNC004455)". The record is from RNAcentral. Lineage: Eukaryota; Viridiplantae; Streptophyta; Magnoliopsida; Malvales; Malvaceae.